Molecule: ribosomal RNA, 297 nt
Filed under: uncultured eukaryote
Lineage: Eukaryota
Description: partial 18S ribosomal RNA
Rfam family: Eukaryotic small subunit ribosomal RNA
Source: RNAcentral
CCCUUAGACGCUCUAGGCGGCACGCGCGCUACAAUGGGUGGUAGAACGUGCAACUGCUCCCGAAAGGGAGGGUGAACCACGAAUACUUACCCGUGAAUGGGAUAGUUUGUUGCAAUUUUCGGACUUGAACUAGGAAUCCCUUGUAAGAAUGCUCAAGAAUAGCGUGCUGAAUACGUCCCUGCCGUUUGUACACACCGCCCGUCGUUUCUUCCGACUGAUACUCAUUGUGAGUUGCAAGGAUUCUUAUUGAAAAAUUGCUGCGAAUGCUUUGUAUUGGAGGAAGAAAAAGUCGUAACA